AGUGAACGCUGGCGGUAGGCCUAACACAUGCCGGUCGAACGGCAGCACAGUAAGAGCUUGCUCUUACGGGUGGCGAGUGGCGGACGGGUGAGGAAUACAUCGGAAUCUACUUUUUCGUGGGGGAUAACGUAGGGAAACUUACGCUAAUACCGCAUACGACCUACGGGUGAAAGCAGGGGAUCUUCGGACCUUGCGCGAUUGAAUGAGCCGAUGUCGGAUUAGCUAGUUGGCGGGGUAAAGGCCCACCAAGGCGACGAUCCGUAGCUGGUCUGAGAGGAUGAUAAGCCACACUGGAACUGAGACACGGUCCAGACUCCUAAGGGAGGCAGCAGUGGGGAAUAUUGGACAAUGGGCGCAAGCCUGAUCCAGCCAUACCGCGUGGGUGAAGAAGGCCUUCGGGUUGUAAAGCCCUUUUGUUGGGAAAGAAAAGCAGCAGGUUAAUACCCCGCUGUUCUGACGGUACCCAAAGAAUAAGCACCGGCUAACUUCGUG
Molecule: ribosomal RNA, 492 nt
Filed under: uncultured bacterium
Lineage: Bacteria
Description: partial 16S ribosomal RNA
Rfam family: Bacterial small subunit ribosomal RNA
Source: RNAcentral